RNAcentral lists this ribosomal RNA (1358 nucleotides) under uncultured bacterium. RNAcentral's name for it is "bacterial SSU rRNA". It matches the Rfam family "Bacterial small subunit ribosomal RNA", at positions 28 to 1381 of the family's 1533-position model. The record is from RNAcentral.
GAUGAACGCUAGCUACAGGCUUAACACAUGCAAGUCGAGGGGCAGCAUGGUCUUAGCUUGCUAAGGCCGAUGGCGACCGGCGCACGGGUGAGUAACACGUAUCCAACCUGCCGUCUACUCUUGGACAGCCUUCUGAAAGGAAGAUUAAUACAAGAUGACAUCAUGAGUUCACAUGUUCACAUGAUUAAAGGUAUUCCGGUAGACGAUGGGGAUGCGUUCCAUUAGAUAGUAGGCGGGGUAACGGCCCACCUAGUCUUCGAUGGAUAGGGGUUCUGAGAGGAAGGUCCCCCACAUUGGAACUGAGACACGGUCCAAACUCCUACGGGAGGCAGCAGUGAGGAAUAUUGGUCAAUGGGCGAGAGCCUGAACCAGCCAAGUAGCGUGAAGGAUGACUGCCCUAUGGGUUGUAAACUUCUUUUAUAAAGGAAUAAAGUCGGGUAUGCAUACCCGUUUGCAUGUACUUUAUGAAUAAGGAUCGGCUAACUCCGUGCCAGCAGCCGCGGUAAUACGGAGGAUCCGAGCGUUAUCCGGAUUUAUUGGGUUUAAAGGGAGCGUAGAUGGAUGUUUAAGUCAGUUGUGAAAGUUUGCGGCUCAACCGUAAAAUUGCAGUUGAUACUGGAUAUCUUGAGUGCAGUUGAGGCAGGCGGAAUUCGUGGUGUAGCGGUGAAAUGCUUAGAUAUCACGAAGAACUCCGAUUGCGAAGGCAGCCUGCUAAGCUGCAACUGACAUUGAGGCUCGAAAGUGUGGGUAUCAAACAGGAUUAGAUACCCUGGUAGUCCACACGGUAAACGAUGAAUACUCGCUGUUUGCGAUAUACAGCAAGCGGCCAAGCGAAAGCGUUAAGUAUUCCACCUGGGGAGUACGCCGGCAACGGUGAAACUCAAAGGAAUUGACGGGGGCCCGCACAAGCGGAGGAACAUGUGGUUUAAUUCGAUGAUACGCGAGGAACCUUACCCGGGCUUAAAUUGCAGAUGAAUUACGGUGAAAGCCGUAAGCCGCAAGGCAUCUGUGAAGGUGCUGCAUGGUUGUCGUCAGCUCGUGCCGUGAGGUGUCGGCUUAAGUGCCAUAACGAGCGCAACCCUUGUUGUCAGUUACUAACAGGUUCCGCUGAGGACUCUGACAAGACUGCCAUCGUAAGAUGUGAGGAAGGUGGGGAUGACGUCAAAUCAGCACGGCCCUUACGUCCGGGGCUACACACGUGUUACAAUGGGGGGUACAGAGGGCCGCUACCACGCGAGUGGAUGCCAAUCCCAAAAACCUCUCUCAGUUCGGACUGGAGUCUGCAACCCGACUCCACGAAGCUGGAUUCGCUAGUAAUCGCGCAUCAGCCACGGCGCGGUGAAUACGUUCCCGGGCCU